This 7005-nucleotide unclassified non-coding RNA is filed under the name Helicoverpa zea (corn earworm). RNAcentral describes it as "uncharacterized LOC124634124, transcript variant X1". Lineage: Eukaryota; Metazoa; Arthropoda; Insecta; Lepidoptera; Noctuidae. The record is from RNAcentral.
AACCAGCGAUCAAUAAUGUACCAGAGUUACCUAAAAAUGAAACUGAAAACAUUGAAAAGGGUUGUUCCUGUAAAGAAUCAGAACAUAAAUCAAAAGGAUCUGGAUGUAUAUACCAUGUACCAAAAGAUCCACAUGCACCAAUGUCUAAGCAGUGUUAUAAAUGUAGUCAGAAAAAAUCUGAAGCAAACGGAUAUGUGUAUGAGGUACCGAAAAAUACCCCAGACAAUACUGCACAAGAUGACUUAAAAAAGACACAACCUUUACCCAACAAAUGUCAAAAAGAUAGCUGUAGCUGUAAACAAUCAGAAUAUAAAUUAAAAGGGCCUGGUUUUAUUUACGAUGUACCAAAACAUGCACCCACGUCUCGGCAAGGUUGUAAAUGUAGUGAAUCCACGAAAAUAAAAUCUGAAGCACAUGGAUAUGUGUAUGAUAUACCAAAACAAGUGAAACCGAAAACAUGCCAGUGCAAAGAGUCAUCAGCAUAUAAACCUACUACAGUUGCGCAAGAUAUUUUAAAAAACAUAGUUGAUACGCAGGCAAGUGCAGUUGAAUCGUUAACAAAUAAAUGUCAGAAAACUAGCUGCAAUUGUAAAGAAUCUCAAUAUAAAUUAAAGGGGCCGGGCUUUAUAUACGAUGUACCAAAACAACCGUAUGGGCCAACGUCAUUUCAAGUUUGUAAGUGUAGUAAGUUGGCCAAAACCAAAUCUGAACCACAAGGGUAUGAGGUACCAAACUAUAAACCAACCAAAGUCGCGCAAGAAAUUUUCGACAACAUUAUUGGCACACAGGCAAGUGCGAUUGGACCGUUAACGAAUAAAUGCCAAAAAAUAUAUUGUAGUUGUAAAGAAUCGGAAUAUAAAUUAAAAGGACCUGGAUUCAUUUACGAUGUUACAAAAUGUCCACAUGAAGCAAUAUCAGCAAAAAAUAAACCUGAAUUAAAUAAAUAUGUCUUUGAAGUACAGAAACAUAUGAAACAAGCGUCGGGAGAUAAACAAAAAACAUGUCAGUGCAGAGAGUCAUCAAAAAAUAAAUUGGAUACCACACAAAUCCACAACUCAAGUAGUCAUUUAAACUCACCAAAACGUAAAUCAGAUGCACCUGGAUACAUAUAUGAGGUACCGAAGUAUCCUUCUAAAUCAGAGAAAACCCCUUGCGUGUGCCGUCAAAAAAGUCAUUCUGAUUCACGUGGAUAUAUUUAUGACGUUCGACACGUCACAAAUAUAUCACAAAAACCAAGAAAUGAAUCCGGCUCACAAACAAAUGCGACUGGAUCGUUGCCCAAUAAAUGUCAACAAGGUAGCGGUAGCUGUGGCUGUAAGGAGUCAGAAUAUAAAUUAAAAGGUCCUGGAUUUAUAUACGAUGUACCAAAACAUGCACCCACGUCUCGGCAAGGUUGUAAAUGUAGGGAAUCAGCGAAAAUAACACCUGAAACGCAUGGAUAUAUUUUUGAUGUACCAAAACCUGUGAAACUGAAAACAUGCCAGUGCAAGGAGUCAUCAGCGGGACAUAAUACUACAACGCAAGAACAAUCAAAUACCACACAAAUAUACAGCAUAAAUAGGCUAGAAACACAAUUCAUUGUAUCUGAUAUUCAUCACAAUUUUAACAAAAAAAGUUGUAACUGUAGCAAAUCUUCAAAAUCUAAAUCAGAAUUAUCUCAACAAAUAUUUGAGGUACCGAAGUAUACUUCUAAAUCAAAGAAAAAGAGUUGCCAGUGCGGUCCAACAUAUAAAAGAAAAUCCGAAUCACAUGGAUAUGUUUAUGAGGUAACGAAAUAUAAACCAACAAAAACUGCACAAGAAAUUUUCAAAAAUAUACUCGGAACACAAGCUCGUGCGAUCGGAUUGUUACCGAAUAAAUGCCGAAAAAAUAAUUGUAAGAAAUCUGAAUACAAAUUAAAAGGACCUGGAUUUGUUUACGACGUACCAAAAUAUCCACGUAAGCCAACAUCACGGAAAAGCUAUGAGAGCAGUGACUCAGCUAAAUUGAAAUCUGAAUCACAUGGAUAUAUUUAUGAGGUACCAAGAUAUAUGAAAGAACAAUCUGGCGAUGAUCAGAAAAGAUGCGCGUGCAGAGGUCCACCAAAAAUACAAUUUCGAUCAUCGGAAUAUAGUGAAUAUCAAAAGUAUAAUAUGACAUCGCGAGAACCGUGUAAUACCACACAAAUAUUCAGCAUUAAUAGACUAGAAACACAAUACGCAGCAUAUAACGCCAUUUGCAAUAUGAAUAAAAAACUUUGUACUUGUCAUGCCCCAGAAAAACAAAAACCUGAAUUAGCUGGAUACAUAUAUGACGUACCUAAGAAUGUAAAUUCUAAAUCAGAGAAGAGCAAUUGCGAGUGCAGCCCCACAGAAAAAAGGGAAUCUGAAUCACAUGGGUAUGUGUAUGAGGUACCGAAAUAUGAACCAAAUAAAAAUGGAACAAAUGCAUUUCGAAACCAAGACAGAACACAAGUAAGUUGCGAAUGUAAAACAGUAAUAGGAUCUGGAUUUGUACACGAUCUGCCAAGACAUCCUGAUGCACCAACGACACGAAAAAGUUGUGAAUGUACUAAUUCAGCGAAUCAGCGAAAUAAAUCUGAAUCUCACGGAUACAUCUAUGAAGUACCGAAGAAUUCUCGUAAUGAGUCUUCAGAUAAUAAAACUAAAUUAUCUACCAACAAAAAGACAUGUGAGUGCAAAGAACCUACCAAAAGUAAACCUGAAUCAUUUGGAUAUGAAUUCACAUACAUGAAAAGUAAGCUCUGUUCAGAAGAUGUAAUAAAAUUAAUAAAUAAACAAAAACAAACAAUUGAAUCACUGUCCAAUCAAUAUAAGAACAGCAGCAGUGAUGGUUUAACAUCAAAAGAUAAAUCUCUGUGCGGUUGUAAUAACUCAAGUAGAUAUAAAUCUAAUAGUAAUGCACAAGACUUAUUCAAAGAUAUACUCGAAAUACAGAAAAAUGCAAUUGAAACACUGACUAAUAAAUAUCACAAGAAAAACUGUGAUUGUAAUGUUUGUAAGAAAAAUGAAUUAGAGUCAUCUGGUUUUAUAUACGAGCUACCGAAAUUGGCUCAUGUAUCAACAGUACAAGAAAAUAAUUGCGAAUGCGCUGAAUCCUCAAAGCAAAUAUCAGAUUCACCUCGGUACGAAGUCGAUUUAACGAAAGAAAGCUGCGUGUGCAGUGCCGACAAUGAAUAUGAAGCCACUAAAAGUUCACAAAUUGUUGAAUCAAAAAGUAUUCCACCUGAAUCACAAAACAAUUGUAAACAGAUGUUGUGUACACAGACAGAAACAGCUAAACUUUCUAAUUUAAUACUCAAAGACAAUGUACCAUGUAACGACAAGAGAUCAUCAAAAGAUAAUUUAGAAUUAAAUAACUGUCCAUGUGUACCAUUAAACGCAAACAAUGCACCACCAACGGAAACGAACAAUGAUGCCGCGCAAUGCAAUACAGGAAAAGCAAUGCUAAGUGCAGAAGUGAUGGAUGUGCCAUACACAGAAUUUAACGCCUCAGUAGCAUGCGCAAAAUCAGACUCGUCUAACAAAUUGAAAAAAUUAACAAAAUACGAUAUAUUUAAAAGAAUCAAAGAAGCAUACAAAGCAUGCAGUUGCAAAGUUUGCGAAUGCAUUGCUGGAAAACCCGUCAAACCUGAUAUAUGUAAAUGUAAACCUUGUGAAUGCACUGACUGUUUAAGCUUUUUAGAAAGAAAUGACUUUAAUACGUCAUCGAGUGGAAGUAGUAAAUGUACAUGUGACGGGUGCAACAAAAGCCUAUGUCCAGUGGCGAUGAAUAAACUAGAAAUAUGUGACUGUUCUCCAUGCAACUGUGUAGAUUGCGCAAGAGGUUUUACAAAAUCUUGCGAUUGUGAACCAUGUCAAUGUGUAGUUUGUAAAGCUAGAACUAUUCCCCAACGUCAAACCUUGGUGGUCGCACCUGUUGGCAGGGAACAAAACGUACAGCGUAUAGCUUGCACUUGUUCACCAUGCGACUGCAUCGAAUGCGGCCAAGUUCAUCGUUUAACUUCAAGUGUGAUGCAUGAAAUGUCUACUGGAACCAACCGUCAUGCUUUGUGCAGAUGUGAAAUCUGCCUCGAUGACGCUUGCGAUCAAAGCGGAGUCGAUUCUUGUAAAUGUCAAAAACGUAACAAAGUUAUGAAUAAACCAGUCGAAAAAGAUACACACGAUUUUGAUAUCAGGGUCGCUACUAUAGUGCAGAAACCUAUGGCACAACAGAAUAACAGAAAAGGAAAGAGUCACGAUACCAUAGCCAUGUUUGCAGCAGUACCCAAUACGUAUCCUGAUUUGCAAAGCAGCAUUCAAGAAUGCACCUGCGAGGAGGGGUGUGAAUGUAUUUCUUGUGUCUACAAAGAACAUGCUAUUAAUUCAAUUAAAUCUUCACAACUAUUUACAUCCAUAGAAACGGGAGCAAAAUCAAGUAUUUCUGAAAAUAGAACAUUUUCAAGUUAUCAUUGUCAACUAUGUAAAACACAGAUGGACGAUAGGUCUAGUUUAAAUGUUCCAGUUCACAUGGCAGCGACGUCAAAAUGUAUGUCUGAGUGUUGUGAUUGUAUAGAUUGUGGAAAAAAUGAAUCAAGAUCACCGCAACGUUCACUUACCAUACCUUAUAAUCGUAUAGGUCACGAACAAUCAAUGUCUAAGAAUAAUGCGAAGGCUUCACAUGAGAUUAAUUUGCAAAAUAAUGAGAUUUCCGAUAGUGUUCUAUCUGGUUAUUCAUCAAUAGAAACAUCUUCAAAAAUAUCUUGUCACAAAGGUUAUGGCAUGAUUACACAAAAUUCUAGAAAUAAAAGCAAGUCCUGGGAAAGUUCUUGCAAUAGCUCAGGUCACGAUUAUCCAGAGUAUUUAAUACAAUUUCCAAAAUCUACCGUAGAACAUUGCCUAAAAGAUGUAAUGGAGUCAGAUAUGGAUAAAAAUGUUAAACUUGGCCAAUUCAAUACAAAUUCAAAUGUAACUGAAGAACAAACAGAGUUGAACUCAUUUGAUACUUCUUUAGCAAAAGAAAAUUAUUUUCUUGAAUGUGGUAUAACAGAUUCACAUAAUUCAGAAUAUAUUUGUAGAACUAAGAAUAACUGCGAUGUAUCCUGCCUUCCUGAUUCUCCGCAAUAUGCACUCCAUACAAAUGCCAAGGGCAGUAACACGCUCGACUCUAACCAACAUUUAGUUUUGCAAGUCAAUAAUCGUCAAUGCUCACAUAAACCCGAAACAAACGAAUGUCACGAAAGUAACGUUAAACAAACAAAAGACAUAAAUGAAUUGCAAGCCUCUUGUUAUAUUCUAGAUAGAAGAUCUUCUUGUAAUAACAAUGAUGAAAGUAUUUAUGUUGGAAACCGUACAAUUUUCAAUCCAAUGUCUAAUGAUAAUGAAUUUCAUGCUUCAGAUAAGGUUUUUGAUCAUAAUAUCGCCGAUGAUAACACCACCAACGUUUUACUUCCCAUACAUAAUGAACAAUAUUGCACUAGAAAGUAUUUAGAACAAUUACCACAAUCAUGCCUUGUCAGUGCUGCAAAUGGUUUAAGUUUCGAGGAUUACGAAAGAAUCCGAAAAACUCUCAAAGAAGCUAAAGAGUUUACCAGAGAGUUAAUAAAACUAUUAAAAAUGUACGAAAAAGCAAACAACGAUUUUGAUAGUGUAUCUGAAAAGCUGAAAAUAUCCCAUGCAUCUCUAUUAAGUGGUGACAUAAACGCAAUUCGUGGCGCCAGAAAAGAUGUCGUGGAAGACUGUAUUGUCAGCGAAGAAGAAUACAAUAAAAUGAACCACGAGCUUCAAGGAGGUCAUUUACAAGCUCCUCCUGUAAGGGAAAUAUUAAGUUCCUCGUCUAUUAUACAUAUGAAAAGAAACAUUUCGGAUUCAGUGUAUGGUGAUCAUGAUAAUGACAAUAUGUCUCAAAAAUCAAUCAUUAAAGAUAUUUCUAAUUUUCAGAAAAUGAAUGAAUCCAUAGCUCUAGAUCCGUCUCAUGAUUUUAAUUCUGUUUUAGAAACAAAUGAAUUAGUACAAAUCGAUACACAUUUAAACAAGGACGAGGUUUGUUGUGAAAGCGCAGUUAAUGUAAAAUUGAUUGAGGAACAUUUGGAGAUAAUCCAAAAUGUCCAGAACACAACAUGCAAGCCCCUAGAGAAGGAUUCAUUUCAUGCUUCAGAGGAAAACACUGCAGUCUGCACUGUAAAUAAUCGAGGAUUUAGAAAAAAAUAUCGAACACACAUUAGAAACUAUAAAAAAUAUACCAAACUUUUAAGAUACAUUCUUACAAUAUCGAGAAAAAUUUGUGACAUUAGUUCAAAUGCUAGUGAAUUGACGCCGGUAACAAAGUAUCAUGUCACUGUGGGAACAUCCUCAACUGUUGUCGCAGAGUCGAUUCAAAAAAUGAAUAAUGAACUAAGUACUUUAUUACCGAUCAAAGACUCUCAAGAACUACAUACUUUACGAAGACAAGGAAAUGGACUUAAUCAAAUUUUGAAAAAACUCGAGACCGUAUUCCGGAAUUUUGAAAAAGAUGCAGUGUCUUUAAAAACUAGCGUUCUUGGGAAGAGCUUGGAAGAAUAUAAAAUGGAAAUCGGUUCCAUAAGACAUGAACUCGAAGAAACAGAUACCUGUCCAAUUUUAAAGACAAAAUCUAGCUGGAACAUCGAACCUCGUAAGAAUAGUAAAGAUUUGUGUAUAAUUCCAUCGAUGGAGCUUGAUCUAAAGAAAAUGGUUCAUUCAAUACCACAACAGAAGGUUGUCUCCAAAAAACGAUUGAAUGUGCCCCAUCAUAAGAAUAAAGCUUUAGUAAGUUUACAUUCACUUUAAGAGCAACGAUUGUGAAAAUGUGUCUUCAGAAUUUGAAACCUAGGUAAAGUUGGUGAGUCAGGGAAUCUAGAAGCGUCUGCAUUCUUCGACACUGUUUCCACGCGCGGCUGACCUGCAAGAAGAAGUGAAGAAGCUAUUGGAAAUGCCAAGUUUGCAACCGCAGGAACCCAUUCAUUACACUACAGACUGUGUAAAAGAAAACCUUAUUAAGAAACAAAGG